CAGUCGCCGCGGGAAUACGUAGGUGGCAAGCGUUGUCCGGAAUUAUUGGGCGUAAAGGGCUCGCAGGCGGUUUCUUAAGUCUGAUGUGAAAGCCCCCGGCUCAACCGGGGAGGGUCAUUGGAAACUGGGAAACUUGAGUGCAGAAGAGGAGAGUGGAAUUCCACGUGUAGCGGUGAAAUGCGUUGAGAUCGGAAAGAACACCAACGGCGAAAGCACUCUGCUGGGCCGACACUGACACUGAGAGACGAAAGCUAGGGGAGCAAAUGGGAUUAGAUACCCCGGUAGUCCCUGUCUCUUAUAA
This 301-nucleotide ribosomal RNA is filed under the name uncultured bacterium. RNAcentral's name for it is "partial 16S ribosomal RNA". It matches the Rfam family "Bacterial small subunit ribosomal RNA", at positions 509 to 809 of the family's 1533-position model. The record is from RNAcentral.